RNAcentral lists this ribosomal RNA (774 nucleotides) under uncultured Neocallimastigales. RNAcentral describes it as "partial large subunit ribosomal RNA". It matches the Rfam family "Eukaryotic large subunit ribosomal RNA", at positions 22 to 635 of the family's 3401-position model. Lineage: Eukaryota; Fungi; Neocallimastigomycota; Neocallimastigomycetes; Neocallimastigales. The record is from RNAcentral.
GUACACGCUGUGACUAGCAUAUCAAUAAGCGGAGGAAAAGAAACUAACAAGGAUUCCCCUAGUAACGGCGAGUGAAGCGGGAAGAGCUCAAAUUUGAAAUCUUAAAGGGUUUCCCUUUACGAAUUGUAGUUUAAAGAAGUGUUUUCUGUUGAGGUUUUGGUAAAAGUUCUUUGGAAUAGGACAUCAUAGAGGGUGAGAAUCCCGUAUUUGACCUUUACUUUCAACUUUGUGAUACACUUUCAAAGAGUCGGAUUGUUUGGGAAUGCAGUCCAAAAUGGGUGGUAAAUUUCAUCUAAAGCUAAAUAUUGGCGAGAGACCGAUAGCGAACAAGUACCGUGAGGGAAAGAUGAAAAGAACUUUGAAAAGAGAGUUAAACAGUACGUGAAAUUGUCAAAAGGGAAGCGUUUGACACCAGUGUUGUUUUUCUGAGAAUCAAUUAAAGAACUGUUUAUGCUAAGUUGUUCAGACUUUAUCAGCUAACUGCUUAGUUUUGAGCUUUUCUUUAAUGCACUUUUCAGUUAACAAGUCAACAUCAAUUUCUUUUGCUGUAAAAAAGCUUGAGGAAGGUGGCUUGAGAUUCGUCUUAAGUGUUUAUAGCCUCUUGCCUAUGCAGUCGGAGAGAUUGAGGUCUGCAGCGUAGAUCCUUCGGGGCUAAAUGCAUUUGUGCUAAGUUAUAGCAUUUUAUAGACAACUUGUUGACUAUGAUUUGUCUUGUAGCUUACUCGCUUAUGUUAUUUUACCUACGCUUAGGAUGUUGAAGAUGUAGCACAUCAU